GGAAACUUUGGCAGCACCAUGUACUGAAAUCAGAACAAUACAGAAAAGAUUAGCAUGGCCUCUGCUCAAGGAUGAUACACAUAUUCAUGAAAUAUUUUAUACUUCU
Small nuclear RNA from Mustela lutreola (European mink), 106 nucleotides. Lineage: Eukaryota; Metazoa; Chordata; Mammalia; Carnivora; Mustelidae. The record is from RefSeq and is a predicted model, not a curated record.